ACUCCGUGAUGAACGUAAAAUGACAAGCAUAUGGCUGAACCGAAGUGAUGUCAUACUAGGUGCUGAGAAGU
Sorex araneus (European shrew) is the source of this 71-nucleotide small nucleolar RNA. Its record names the gene SNORD27. It matches the Rfam family "Small nucleolar RNA SNORD27". From Rfam's summary of the family: U27 is a member of the C/D class of snoRNA which contain the C (UGAUGA) and D (CUGA) box motifs. The record is from Ensembl. Lineage: Eukaryota; Metazoa; Chordata; Mammalia; Eulipotyphla; Soricidae.